Long non-coding RNA from Pezoporus flaviventris, 673 nucleotides. RefSeq lists it as uncharacterized. NCBI's taxonomy places the organism in Eukaryota, Metazoa, Chordata, Aves, Psittaciformes, Psittacidae. The transcript is spliced from 3 exons. The record is from RefSeq and is a predicted model, not a curated record.
CAGAAGGUGUAAACCAGGAAAGAAUGAAGUUGCUUGUGUGUGUUCCCCUCCCCCUCAACUUUUUAAUCACCCCAAAGUUCCCUGCAGCAUUUUAUUGCUGGGUAAAUUUGCACACUUGGCCAACUCAGCUGAAAGGUCAUUGGCAUAUGUACUUUUCUUCUGUCCUUACUUCCAUUAUGUGUGAGGUUCAGGAACCUGAAAUUGUGCACACUGAAGCCAGGAAGCCUGGUGUGAAGCAGAGAGAAGUGCUCUGGUAGGAAGCCAGAAGGAGAGGAAUUUGAGAGCUAUAAUGAUGUGAAAACCACUCUUAAUUCUUGAACCACCUACAGCCAGCUCUGCUGUGACCCUGCUGAAGCAGCCUGUGAAGCUGUCAGCUCAGUGAAAGUGAGGUCAAUCUGACCACACUCUUCCUAAAGGAUCCUCUUCUGAACCAUCUACUUGAGUAUACAGCUCCUGACAAAUCAAUGACAGAAUCGAGAGGCAUGUACUUUGCCCAGAAACCUGGAGGCUGAUUGUCCUUUGCCGUGCAUCUUAUGUAGCCAUUUAGGUGAGUGCAGCAUGGGCAGUGCCUGAUAACAAUAGUAACCGUUAGCAUGUGCAUCCCGGUGAUGUAAAUGCCUGCCUGAAGAUGCAGGACAACAGAGAUGCAGACCUCUGUCCUACAAUGUAAAGA